GCCCCCAUCGUCUAACCAGGCAAGGAUGCUGGCCUCUCGAGCCAGAGGUGCGGGUUCAAAUCCCGCUGGGGGCA
The sequence is a transfer RNA, 74 nucleotides long. It matches the Rfam family "tRNA". Rfam says of the family: Transfer RNA (tRNA) molecules are approximately 80 nucleotides in length. Their secondary structure includes four short double-helical elements and three loops (D, anti-codon, and T loops).